GAUGAACGCUGGCGGCGUGCCUAAUACAUGCAAGUCGAGCGAACGGACGAGAAGCUUGCUUCUCUGAUGUUAGCGGCGGACGGGUGAGUAACACGUGGAUAACCUACCUAUAAGACUGGGAUAACUUCGGGAAACCGUAGCUAAUACCGGAUAAUAUUUUGAACCGCAUGGUUCAAAAGUGAAAGACGGUCUUGCUGUCACUUAUAGAUGGAUCCGCGCUGCAUUAGCUAGUUGGUAAGGUAACGGCUUACCAAGGCAACGAUGCAUAGCCGACCUGAGAGGGUGAUCGGCCACACUGGAACUGAGCCACGGUCCAGACUCCUACGGGAGGCAGCAGUAGGGAAUCUUCCGCAAUGGGCGAAAGCCUGACGGGGCAACGCCGCGUGAGUGAUGAAGGUCUUCGGAUCGUAAAACUCUGUUAUUAGGGAAGAACAUAUGUGUAAGUAACUGUGCACAUCUUGACGGUACCUAAUCAGAAAGCCACGGCUAACUACGUG
RNAcentral lists this ribosomal RNA (497 nucleotides) under uncultured bacterium. RNAcentral describes it as "partial 16S ribosomal RNA". It matches the Rfam family "Bacterial small subunit ribosomal RNA", at positions 28 to 507 of the family's 1533-position model. The record is from RNAcentral.